Long non-coding RNA from Daucus carota subsp. sativus, 555 nucleotides. RefSeq lists it as uncharacterized. Lineage: Eukaryota; Viridiplantae; Streptophyta; Magnoliopsida; Apiales; Apiaceae. The transcript is spliced from 2 exons. The record is from RefSeq and is a predicted model, not a curated record.
UUUAUUAUUCUGAAAGUAUCAUCAUUUGUUUGUGCGUUCUUCUGCAUCUUCAUAAACUAACCUUCUGAUUUGUUUGUCCCAAGUUAGUGCCAUCUCUACGUACUGUGCUGCUGCUGUUUUAUUAUACUUCUCAAUUAUCUUGAUUUUUCUUUUAAGUUUUAACUGCAGUGUUCCCCCAUCUCCUUACUUGAAUUAUAUGUACCAAGCUACAAACCUCCCGACUAAGCUGCCUGAUCAAAGCUCUUGGUAAUUGUUUCUCGGACCAUUUUCAGUUACUUUUAAUCUCUUUUGUGAACUUGUACACUGUAGAAAUUGUUUUAGUUCUGUGUCAUGUAUCUGCCUUCGUUCUUUUACUUCACUCUCUGUACUAAUUUGUCUUUUUUUACAUAUUACUAAGCUAAGUUUAGAUUGAAUUAUAGCACAACAUUACAAUAAGGCUACUUAAUUUGUUGUGUCCAACAUAUUGAUUAAUUAUACGAGAUGAGGCCGGAUAUAUAGUUUGGAACCUAGUUUAUUUCUGUUGAGUAUUGAGCAAUAUAUUUCUUUUCUUUUUUU